This 73-nucleotide transfer RNA is filed under the name Nelumbo nucifera (sacred lotus). It matches the Rfam family "tRNA". From Rfam's summary of the family: Transfer RNA (tRNA) molecules are approximately 80 nucleotides in length. Their secondary structure includes four short double-helical elements and three loops (D, anti-codon, and T loops). Further hydrogen bonds mediate the characteristic L-shaped molecular structure. tRNAs have two regions of fundamental functional importance: the anti-codon, which is responsible for specific mRNA codon recognition, and the 3' end, to which the tRNAs corresponding amino acid is attached (by aminoacyl-tRNA synthetases). tRNAs cope with the degeneracy of the genetic code in two manners: having more than one tRNA (with a specific anti-codon) for a particular amino acid; and 'wobble' base-pairing, i.e. permitting non-standard base-pairing at the 3rd anti-codon position. The record is from Rfam by way of RNAcentral. Lineage: Eukaryota; Viridiplantae; Streptophyta; Magnoliopsida; Proteales; Nelumbonaceae.
GACUCCAUCGCCCAAUGGAUAAGGCGCUGGUCUACGGAACCAGAGAUUCUGGGUUCGAUCCCCAGUGGAGUCG